RNAcentral lists this ribosomal RNA (400 nucleotides) under uncultured bacterium. RNAcentral describes it as "partial 16S ribosomal RNA". It matches the Rfam family "Bacterial small subunit ribosomal RNA", at positions 338 to 755 of the family's 1533-position model. The record is from RNAcentral.
CCUACGGGUGGCAGCAGUGGGGAAUAUUGCACAAUGGGGGAAACCCUGAUGCAGCGACGCCGCGUGAGUGAAGAAGUAUCUCGGUACGUAAAGCUCUAUCAGCAGGGAAGAAAAUGACGGUACCUGACUAAGAAGCCGCGGCUAACGACGUGCCAGCAGCCGCGGUAAUACGGAGGGGGCAAGCGUUAUCCGGAUUUACUGGGUGUAAAGGGAGCGUAGACGGCAGCACAAGUCUGGAGUGAAAUCCCGGGGCUUAACCCCGGAACUGCUUUGGAAACUGUGCGGCUGGAGUGCAGGAGGGGUAAGCUGAAUUCCUCGUGUAGCGGUGAACUGCGUAGAUCUUAGGCGGACCCCCGGUGGCGAAGGCGGCUUACUGGACUGUAACUGACGUUGAGGCUCG